RNAcentral lists this ribosomal RNA (271 nucleotides) under Vibrio parahaemolyticus. RNAcentral describes it as "partial 23S ribosomal RNA". It matches the Rfam family "Bacterial large subunit ribosomal RNA", at positions 1211 to 1486 of the family's 2925-position model. The record is from RNAcentral. Lineage: Bacteria; Pseudomonadati; Pseudomonadota; Gammaproteobacteria; Vibrionales; Vibrionaceae.
UGCUUUUGCACAUUGGGUAGGGGAGCGUUCUGUAAGCGGUUGAAGGUGUGUGGUAACGCAUGCUGGACGUAUCAGAAGUGCGAAUGCUGACAUGAGUAACGAUAAAGGGGGUGAAAAACCUCCUCGCCGGAAGACCAAGGGUUCCUGUCCAACGUUAAUCGGGGCAGGGUAAGUCGACCCCUAAGGCGAGGCCGAAAGGCGUAGUCGAUGGGAAACGGGUUAAUAUUCCCGUACUUCUUACAAUUGCGAUGGGGGGACGGAGAAGGCUAGG